ACACGACCCGAAGACAGCAGGUGCCGUAAGGCAUAAGGUAAAUACGCCUGCCGAGGACGAUACAUUCAUUUAUGGAAUGACUUUCAGAACCUCUCUGUCUAUGCGGGCAGGGAGGUUUUUUCAU
RNAcentral lists this small RNA (124 nucleotides) under Candidatus Merdisoma faecalis. Its description in RNAcentral is "Ribosomal protein L10 leader". It matches the Rfam family "Ribosomal protein L10 leader", at positions 19 to 132 of the family's 138-position model. From Rfam's summary of the family: This family is a putative r-protein leader autoregulatory structure found in B. subtilis and other low-GC Gram-positive bacteria. It is located in the 5' untranslated regions of mRNAs encoding ribosomal proteins L10 and L12 (rplJ-rplL). Lineage: Bacteria; Bacillati; Bacillota; Clostridia; Lachnospirales; Lachnospiraceae. The record is from RNAcentral.